GGAAUAUUGCACAAUGGGGGAAACCCUGAUGCAGCAAUGCCGCGUGGGUGAAGAAGCACUCCGGUGCGUAAAGCCCUGUCAGCAGGGAAGAAAAUGACAGUACCUGACCAAGAAGCCCCGGCUAACUACAUGCCAGCAGCCGCGGUAAUACGUAGGGGGCAAGCGUUAUCCGGAUUUACUGGGUGUAAAGGGAGCGCAGGCGGUAUGGCAAGUCAGAUGUGAAGACCCAGGGCUCAACCCUGGGACUGCAUUUGAAACUGCCAUACUGGAGUGCCGGAGAGGUAAGUGGAAUUCCUAGUGUAGCGGUGAAAUGCGUAGAUAUUAGGAGGAACACCAGUUGCGAAGGCGGCUCUCUGGACUGUAACUGACGCUGAGGCACGAAAGCGUGGGGAGCAAACA
Molecule: ribosomal RNA, 399 nt
Filed under: uncultured bacterium
Lineage: Bacteria
Description: bacterial SSU rRNA
Rfam family: Bacterial small subunit ribosomal RNA
Source: RNAcentral